Nicotiana tabacum (common tobacco) is the source of this 996-nucleotide non-coding RNA. The record is from RefSeq and is a predicted model, not a curated record. NCBI's taxonomy places the organism in Eukaryota, Viridiplantae, Streptophyta, Magnoliopsida, Solanales, Solanaceae.
CUAAAAGGACUUAACCUAAUUCCUAAAAGAAAAUGGCAGAAUCCCUUAAAAACGGGAACCAUCUCUUUCUAUCCAAAAACUAGACCAGCGGCCACUUUUAAUCUCCUAAGAGCAAGAGGCGCAUCAACUGGAGAGAAAGCAGAAAUCUUCUUUGUUUUCCAGCAACAAAAAUACUAUUUUCCACCAUUAAAGGAGCCUUCUUACUCAACUGAAAUCCAAUAGCUUUUCUCCAUGGAAGCUGCCUCAAACUCCAACACCAAAAUACCUCAAACUUUAGCUACAAAAUCUAUUAAACUCCCACAAAAAUCAGCGAAAAGCAGCCCCCAAAAACGCUUCUAGUUCCAGCACCACAACUCCACUUUUCUCCCUCAUUUCAGCUCCAAAACCCACCUGAAACAACUCCCAAAAAUCAGCCAAGAAUGACUUCAAAAGCUGCUAAAAAAUAGCAUCAAAUCUAGCUAAAAGACCUCCGAAAAUCAGCUCUAAAAUCGACAAAAAUGCAGCUGAAGAAUAGCUUCAACACAGUCCAAAUUCCAACCUAAACAGCGCCCUAAAAGAGUUCCGUAAAUGCAGCAAAGUCUCGAUUCUGUUUCAUCAUGUUGAACGGGGUUCAGUCGAGCUCUAAUCAUGGGUUCCGAUUGAAGUUACCGGCAAAUAUUUCGGUUAAAAUCGACAAGCUGCUGUAAUUCGAGUUUAGAUCUAUCAAUACAAAGAUUUGGAGCACUCGGAAAUUGGUUCGAGAGGCAAGCAUAUUGCAGAGUAGCUUUUCGGGCUAGUUCGAGGUCCUGCUAUUGAGGGUGGAUAGUUCCAGCAGAUCUUCGGAGGUUUACUAAGUAGUUGCUUGGCGAUUCGCAGCCCAGUGCAACCUCCCUCUAUCUUAUUUCCUUUUUGAUUCAGUUAUUUAGUAGUGGAGUAGACUUUCAUAUUUGUAGUAUUGUUUUAGAUGCUCGUGAUUGGUGACACAUCGAUGUCGGGCUGUGUUGAUUUUAUUUCCGC